AGAGUCUUGGGACAUAGUAUAAGGCAGUGGUCUGGCCAGUCCCACUAACUGGCUCUGUCUCUCGGCA
This 67-nucleotide microRNA precursor is filed under the name Mus pahari (shrew mouse). Its description in RNAcentral is "microRNA 5710 (MGP_PahariEiJ_G0006673.1)". The record is from RNAcentral. Lineage: Eukaryota; Metazoa; Chordata; Mammalia; Rodentia; Muridae.